GUUCAAAUGAGAAAAGGCUUACAGUAGAUACCUAGGCACCCAUAGAUAAGGAAGGGCAUAGUAAUCGACGAAAUGCUUUAGGGAGUUGGAAAUAAGCAUAGAUCCAAAGAUUCCCCAAUAGGGCAACCUUUCAAACUGCAGUUUAAUCUAUGGGCAGGAAAGAGACAACCAGGCGAACUAAAACAUCUUUGUAGCCAGAGGAAAAGAAAGCAAAAGUGAUUCCCAUAGUAGCAGCGAGCGAAAUAGGAGCAGCCUAAACCAGGAAAAUAGGAAUGUGGGAGAGCAAUACAAGUGUCGUGCUGCUAGGCGAAGGACCCUGAAUGCUACACCCUAGAUGGCCAAAGACCAGUAGCCAAGAGCAUCACUAGCUUACUCUCUGACCCGAGUAGCAUGGGGCAUAUGGAAUCCCGUGUGAAUCAGCAAGGACCACCUUGUAAGGCUAAAUACUCCUGGGUGACCAAUAGCGAAGUAGUACCAUGAGGGAAGGGUGAAAAGAACCCCCAUCGGGGAGUGAAAUAGAACAUGAAACCAUAAGCUACCAAGCAGUGGGAGGAGCCAUGGCUCUAACCGCGUGCCUAUUGCAAAAUGAGCCAGCGACUCAUAGGCAGUGGCUUGGUUAAGGGAACCCACCGCAGCCGUAAUAAAAAUGAGUCUUCAUAGGGCAAUUGUUACUGCUUAUGGACCCAAACCUAGGUGAUCUAUCCAUAACCAGGAUGAAGCUUGGGUGAAACUAAGUGGAGGUCCGAAUCGACUGAUGUUGAAGAAUCAGCGGAUAAGUUGUGGUUAAUAAUAAAAUACUACUCGAACCCAGAGCUAGCUGGUUCUCCCUGAAAUGCAUUGAGGCGCAGAAAUUGACUGGACAUCUAGGGGUAAAGCACUAUUUUGGUGCAGGCCACGAGAGCGGUACCAAAUCGAGGAAAACUCUAAAUACUAGGUAUCACCUCAAAAUUAAAAAAGAGGGGUCAAAGUCAGCUAGUGAGACGAUGAGGGAUAAGCUUCAUCGUCGAGAGGGAAACAACCCGGAUUACCAGCUAAGGCCCCUAAAUGGCCACUCAGUGAUAAAGGAGGUAGGGGUGCAGAGACAGCCAGGAGGUUUGCCUAGAAGCAGCCACCCUUGAAAGAGUGCGUAAUAGCUCACUGAUCGAGCGCUCUUGCGCCGAAGAUGAACGGGGCUAAGCGAUCUGCCAAAGCUGUGGGGUGUAAAAAUACAUCGGUAGGGGAGCGUUCCACCUUAGAAGAAAGCCUCUGCAUGAGCGGUGGAUGAAGCGAAAGCGAGAAUGUCAGCUUGAGUAAUGCAAUCAUUGGUGAUAAUCCAAUGCCUCAAAAACCUAAGGGUUCCUCCGCAAGGUUCAUCCACAAAGGGUGAUUCAGGGCCUAAGAUCAAGCUGAAAGGCAUAGUCGAUGGACAACAGGUGAAUAUUCCUGUACUAACCCUUGUUGGUCCCGAGGGAUGGAGGAGGCUAGGUUAGCCGAAAGAUGGUUAUCGGUUCAAGAACAUAAGGUGUCCCUGCCCUUUUUUCAGGGUAAGAAGGGGUAGAGAAAAUGCCUCGAGCCAAUAUUCGAAUACCACGCGCUACGGUGCUGAAGUAACCCAUGCCAUACUCCCAGAAAAAGCUCAAACGACUUUGAGCAAGAGGGUACCUAUACCCGAAACUGACACAGGUGGGUAGGUAGAGAAUACCUAGGGGCAUGAGACAACUCUCUCUAAGGAACUCGGCAAAAUAGCCCCAUAACUUCGCAAGAAGGGGUGCCUCUUCACAUCACAAAGAGGGUCGUAGGCGUGAGACUAUGUAUGGGGGAUAAAGCCUGCCCAGUGCCAGAAGGUCAAGGAAGUUAGUGACCUGAUGAUAGGGGAGUUAGCGACCGAAACCCCGGUGAAUGACGGCCAUAACUAUAACGGUCCUAAGGUAAUGAAAUUUCUUGUCAGGUAAGUUUCGACCCGUAUGAAAGUCGUAACGAUCUGGGCACUGUCUCGAAGAGAGGCUCGGUGAAAUAGAUAUGUCUGUGAAGAUGCGGAAUACCUGCACCUGGACAGAAAGACCCUAUGAAGGUUCACUGUUCCCUGGGAUUGGCUUUGGGCCUUUCCUGCGCAGCUUAGGUGGAAGGCGAAGAAAGCCUCUUUUGGGGGGGCCUGACCCAUUAGUGAGAUACCACUCUGGAAGGGCUAAAAUUCUAACCUUGUGUCAGGACCUACGGGCCAAGGGACAGUCUUAGGUAGACAGUUUCUAUGGGGUGUAGGCCUCCCGAAAGGUAACGGAGGCGUGCAAAGGUUUCCUCGGGCAGGACGGAGAUUGGCCCUCAAGUGGAAAGGCAGAAGGUAGCUUGACUGCAAGACCCACCCGUCGAGCAGGGACGAAAGUCGGCCUUAGUAAUCCGAUGGUGCCGAGUGGAAGGGCCGUCGCUCAAUGGAUAAAAGUUACUCUAGGGAUAACAGGCUUAUCUUUCCCAAGAGCUCAUAUCAACGGGAAGGUUUGGGACCUCGAUGUCGGCUCUUUGCCACCUAGGGCUGUAGUAUGUUCCAAAGGUUGGGCUGUUCGCCCAUUAAAGCGGUACGUGAGCUGGGUUCAGAAUGUCGUGAGACAGUUCGGUCCAUAUCCAAUGUGGGAGUUAGAGAAUUGAUAGGACCUUUCCCUAGUACGAGAGGACUGGGAAGGACGCACCUGUGGUGUACCAGUUAUCGUGCCCACGGUAAAUGCAGGGUAGCCAAGUCCGGAGCGGAUAACUGCUGAAUGUAUCUAAGUAGUAAGCCCACCCUAAGAUGAGUGCUCUCCUAUUUUGACUUCCCCAGAGCUUCCGGUAGCACAGCCAAGACAGCGACAGGUUCUCUUCCCCUGCAGGGAUGGAGCGACAAAAGUUUUUUUGAGAAUUUAAGAAAAGGUCACGGCGAGACGGGUCGUUUAUCAUUACGAUAGGUGUCAAGUGGAAGUGCAGUGAUGUAUACAGCUGAGGCAUCCUAACAGACCGAUAGACUUGAACCU
Molecule: non-coding RNA, 2978 nt
Organism: Capsicum annuum
Lineage: Eukaryota; Viridiplantae; Streptophyta; Magnoliopsida; Solanales; Solanaceae
Source: Rfam